This 460-nucleotide ribosomal RNA is filed under the name uncultured bacterium. RNAcentral's name for it is "partial 16S ribosomal RNA". It matches the Rfam family "Bacterial small subunit ribosomal RNA", at positions 338 to 795 of the family's 1533-position model. The record is from RNAcentral.
CCUACGGGAGGCAGCAGUGAGGAAUAUUGGUCAAUGGACGAGAGUCUGAACCAGCCAAGUAGCGUGAAGGAUGACUGCCCUAUGGGUUGUAAACUUCUUUUAUAUGGGAAUAAAAUGUUCCACGUGUGGGAUUUUGUAUGUACCAUAUGAAUAAGGAUCGGCUAACUCCGUGCCAGCAGCCGCGGUAAUACGGAGGAUCCGAGCGUUAUCCGGAUUUAUUGGGUUUAAAGGGAGCGUAGGUGGAUUGUUAAGUCAGUUGUGAAAGUUUGCGGCUCAACCGUAAAAUUGCAGUUGAAACUGGCAGUCUUGAGGACAGUAGAGGUGGGCGGAAUUCGUGGUGUAGCGGUGAAAUGCUUAGAUAUCACGAAGAACUCCGAUUGCGAAGGCAGUUCACUGGACUGCAACCGACACUGAGGCUCGAAAGUGUGGGUAUCAAACAGGAUUAGAUACCCUUGUAGUC